UCAAGAAACUUCCACAAUGGGCGAAAGCCUGACCCAGCAACGCCGCGUGAAGGAUGAAGUAUUUCGGUAUGUAAACUUCGAAAGAAUAGGAAGAAUAAAUGACGGUACUAUUUAUAAGGUCCGGCUAACUACGUGCCAGCAGCCGCGGUAAUACGUAGGGACCAAGCGUUGUUCGGAUUUACUGGGCGUAAAGGGCGCGUAGGCGGCAAUUCAAGUCAUCUGUGAAAUCUCCGGGCUUAACUCGGAACGGUCAGAUGAUACUGCUUUGCUAGAGUGCAGAAGGGGCAAUCGGAAUUCUUGGUGUAGCGGUGAAAUGCGUAGAUAUCAAGAGGAACACCUGAGGUGAAGACGGGUUGCUGGGCUGACACUGACGCUGAGGUGCGAAAGCGUGGGGAGCAAACAGGAUUAGAUACCCUUGUAGUCCCUGAGCGGGCUGGCAAGGCGCAU
RNAcentral lists this ribosomal RNA (447 nucleotides) under uncultured bacterium. Its description in RNAcentral is "bacterial SSU rRNA". It matches the Rfam family "Bacterial small subunit ribosomal RNA", at positions 355 to 825 of the family's 1533-position model. The record is from RNAcentral.